RNAcentral lists this ribosomal RNA (60 nucleotides) under Bipolaris zeicola. RNAcentral describes it as "partial 28S ribosomal RNA". The record is from RNAcentral. RNAcentral also lists the same sequence under 1 other name. Lineage: Eukaryota; Fungi; Ascomycota; Dothideomycetes; Pleosporales; Pleosporaceae.
UUGACCUCGGAUCAGGUAGGGAUACCCGCUGAACUUAAGCAUAUCAAAAGGCCGGAGGAA